UACUUAGUAGUUUAUAGAAAACCUUGGUUUUGCGUACCAAAAAAGGAAUUUAUUCCCUAGGUGG
RNAcentral lists this transfer RNA (64 nucleotides) under Enchiridium sp. MTA_2015. RNAcentral's name for it is "tRNA-Ala". Lineage: Eukaryota; Metazoa; Platyhelminthes; Polycladida; Prosthiostomidae. The record is from RNAcentral.